RNAcentral lists this ribosomal RNA (241 nucleotides) under uncultured bacterium. Its description in RNAcentral is "partial 16S ribosomal RNA". It matches the Rfam family "Bacterial small subunit ribosomal RNA", at positions 15 to 254 of the family's 1533-position model. The record is from RNAcentral.
GAUCCUGGCUCAGGAUGAACGCUGACAGAAUGCUUAACACAUGCAAGUCAACUUGAAUUUGGGUUUUUAACUUAGGUUUGGGUGGCGGACGGGUGAGUAACGCGUAAAGAACUUGCCUCACAGUUAGGGACAACAUUUGGAAACGAAUGCUAAUACCUGAUAUUAUGAUAAUAGGGCAUCCCAUAAUUAUGAAAGCUAUAAGCGCUGUGAGAGAGCUUUGCGUCCCAUUAGCUAGUUGGAG